UACGAGAGGUGCAGGUGUUGCUCCUAAUUACUGGGCGUUAAGGGUAUGUAGAUUGUAAUUUAAGUUUAAUGGUAUAUAAUUUGCAUUCUAUUUAAUACUAUUUUACUAGAAUAAUAUUUAAAAUAUUAGAACUGUUAGUUUAAGGUUUAAAUCUAUAGAGAUAAGCAGGAAUGCCGACAGCGAAGGCAGAUAUUUAUUUAUUAUUGACAUUGAUGUACGAAAGCAUGGGGAGCAAAUGGG
Molecule: ribosomal RNA, 240 nt
Filed under: uncultured bacterium
Lineage: Bacteria
Description: partial 16S ribosomal RNA
Rfam family: Bacterial small subunit ribosomal RNA
Source: RNAcentral